UCCGUAGGUGAACCUGCGGAGGGAUCAUUACACAACAAAAUAUGAAGGCCUGGCUUCGCGGCCGGCUGAAAUAUUUUUUUUCACCCGUGUCUUUUGCGCACUUGUUGUUUCCUGGGCGGGCUCGCCCGCCACCAGGACCAAACCAUAAACCUUUUUCUUUUGCAGUUUUCAUCAGCGUCAGUAAAAAACAAUGUAAUUAUUACAACUUUCAACAACGGAUCUCUUGGUUCUGGCAUCGAUGAAGAACGCAGCGAAAUGCGAUACGUAGUGUGAAUUGCAGAAUUCAGUGAAUCAUCGAAUCUUUGAACGCACAUUGCGCCCUUUGGUAUUCCAAAGGGCAUGCCUGUUCGAGCGUCAUUUGUACCUUCAAGCUUUGCUUGGUGUUGGGCGUUUUUUGUCUCUCCUUGCGGGAGACUCGCCUUAAAACGAUUGGCAGCCGGCCUACUGGUUUCGGAGCGCAGCACAUUUUUUGCGCUUUGUAUCAGGAGAAAAGGACGGUACUCCAUCAAGACGUUUACAUUUUUAACUUUUGACCUCGGAUCAGGUAGGGAUACCCGCUGAACUUAAGCAUAUCAAUAAGCGGAGGA
This 587-nucleotide ribosomal RNA is filed under the name Bipolaris peregianensis. RNAcentral's name for it is "eukaryotic LSU rRNA". The stretch from base 204 to 357 matches the Rfam family "5.8S ribosomal RNA". Lineage: Eukaryota; Fungi; Ascomycota; Dothideomycetes; Pleosporales; Pleosporaceae. The record is from RNAcentral.